Molecule: ribosomal RNA, 231 nt
Filed under: uncultured bacterium
Lineage: Bacteria
Description: partial 16S ribosomal RNA
Rfam family: Bacterial small subunit ribosomal RNA
Source: RNAcentral
UGAGCAACCUGCCCCUGGCUUCGGGAUAACUCCGGGAAACCGGGGCUAAUACCGGAUGUGACGUGUCCCUGCAUGGGGGUGUCGUGGAAAGUUCCUCGGCCGGGGAUGGGCUCGCGGCCUAUCAGCUUGUUGGUGGGGUGAUGGCCUACCAAGGCGACGACGGGUAGCCGGCCUGAGAGGGCGACCGGCCACACUGGGACUGAGACACGGCCCAGACUCCUACGGGAGGCA